GUCUUGCUGUCACUUAUAGAUGGAUCCGCGCUGCAUUAGCUAGUUGGUAAGGUAACGGCUUACCAAGGCAACGAUGCAUAGCCGACCUGAGAGGGUGAUCGGCCACACUGGAACUGAGACACGGUCCAGACUCCUACGGGAGGCAGCAGUAGGGAAUCUUCCGCAAUGGGCGAAAGCCUGACGGAGCAACGCCGCGUGAGUGAUGAAGGUCUUCGGAUCGUAAAACUCUGUUAUUAGGGAAGAACAUAUGUGUAAGUAACUGUGCACAUCUUGACGGUACCUAAUCAGAAAGCCACGGCUAACUACGUGCCAGCAGCCGCGGUAAUACGUAGGUGGCAAGCGUUAUCCGGAAUUAUUGGGCGUAAAGCGCGCGUAGGCGGUUUUUUAAGUCUGAUGUGAAAGCCCACGGCUCAACCGUGGAGGGUCAUUGGAAACUGGAAAACUUGAGUGCAGAAGAGGAAAGUGGAAUUCCAUGUGUAGCGGUGAAAUGCGCAGAGAUAUGGAGGAACACCAGUGGCGAAGGCGACUUUCUGGUCUGUAACUGACGCUGAUGUGCGAAAGCGUGGGGAUCAAACAGGAUUAGAUACCCUGGUAGUCCACGCCGUAAACGAUGAGUGCUAAGUGUUAGGGGGUUUCCGCCCCUUAGUGCUGCAGCUAACGCAUUAAGCACUCCGCCUGGGGAGUACGACCGCAAGGUUGAAACUCAAAGGAAUUGACGGGGACCCGCACAAGCGGUGGAGCAUGUGGUUUAAUUCGAAGC
This 760-nucleotide ribosomal RNA is filed under the name Staphylococcus aureus. Its description in RNAcentral is "bacterial SSU rRNA". It matches the Rfam family "Bacterial small subunit ribosomal RNA", at positions 206 to 957 of the family's 1533-position model. The record is from RNAcentral. Lineage: Bacteria; Bacillati; Bacillota; Bacilli; Caryophanales; Staphylococcaceae.